AUCUACGGCCAUGCCGCCCUGAACAAGCCCGAUGACGGAUCUUGGAAAAAAAGCAGGGUCAGGCUUGGUUAGUACUUGGAUGGGAGACCACCUAGGAAGACCAGGUGCUAUAGGCG
RNAcentral lists this ribosomal RNA (116 nucleotides) under Pteropus alecto (black flying fox). The record is from RNAcentral. Lineage: Eukaryota; Metazoa; Chordata; Mammalia; Chiroptera; Pteropodidae.